Hibiscus syriacus is the source of this 205-nucleotide long non-coding RNA. RefSeq lists it as uncharacterized. NCBI's taxonomy places the organism in Eukaryota, Viridiplantae, Streptophyta, Magnoliopsida, Malvales, Malvaceae. The transcript is spliced from 3 exons. The record is from RefSeq and is a predicted model, not a curated record.
UAACAAAACAAAGGGCUGGUCCUUCAAACUUAGGUUCUCCACUGAAAGUAGUUAGUGAGCCUGUGAAAGAGUUCAUACCUCAGUUUUACUUCAAAAAUGGUCGUCCGCCUCCAAAUGAUCUAAAAGAACAAUGCAUGUUUCGAAUCAGUCAAUUCUUCUAUGGACAUCCAGAUGGGUUACAGCUGCUUGAAUUCAAACUAGUGAC